Small nuclear RNA from Penaeus indicus, 106 nucleotides. The record is from RefSeq and is a predicted model, not a curated record. Lineage: Eukaryota; Metazoa; Arthropoda; Malacostraca; Decapoda; Penaeidae.
GUGCUUGCUUAGCAGUACAUAUUCUAAAAUUGGAAUGACACAGAGAGGAUUAGCAUGGCCCCUGCGCAAUGAUGACAAGCAAAAUCGUGAAGCGUACCACAUUUUC